CGAGUGGCGGACGGGGGAGUAAUGUCUGGGAAACUGCCCGAUGGAGGGGGGUAACUACUGGAAACGGUAGCUAAUACCGCAUAACGUCGCAAGACCAAAGAGGGGGACCUUCGGGCCUCUUGCCAUCGGAUGUGCCCAGAUGGGAUUAGCUAGUAGGUGGGGUAACGGCUCACCUAGGCGACGAUCCCUAGCUGGUCUGAGAGGAUGACCAGCCACACUGGAACUGAGACACGGUCCAG
Molecule: ribosomal RNA, 239 nt
Filed under: uncultured bacterium
Lineage: Bacteria
Description: partial 16S ribosomal RNA
Rfam family: Bacterial small subunit ribosomal RNA
Source: RNAcentral